AGGUUGAAUUCAAAUUCUUUUUGGAUGGUAGCUUUUUGAUGCCCUGCCAUCUGCUAACUUUCUGAAGGGAAGUUGUUACUUAGAUAUUGUAGAGCAACCACAUUUGAGUUAAAGCCUCGGUUGGAAACCUAGUAUAUCAAUUUUUAUGUUAGCAAUAUCAGUGCAACCUCAUUCAACAUGCACAUCCUGUGAUGUUUGGUCUGUCUCUUCCUCGUUUCUCACAUUACUUUUCCUCCCAUCAAACACCAUCGCAUUUCUCCCCUCUUUCUUCUUUUUCUUCUCCUCUUUUAUUUUUUUUUUCUCGUAAAAUAUGUAAAUUUUUAAUCCCAAAGCUGGGUUUUCGAUCUAUCGGAUAUUUUCAAUUUUGUUUUCUGUUUUUGGUUUGCAGUUUCUAUUUGCAUUUGAUUUUUCUGGUCAAUGCAGCUUCAUUUUUGUUCAAAUUAGGGUUUUCUUUCCUAAUUUGUGAUUGAAAAUUUUGGGAUUCUUUUUUAUAUCAAUUUUAAAGCAUGUGAUUUGAAAGAUCUCUUUUUUCCUUUCUUAAUCCUUUUAAUUAUAAAGGAGGAAGAAUCCCAUUUUUUUUUUUUCCCUUUUGAAAUUAAAUUGGAUUUUGGAUUACUUAGAUUCCUAUUAUCAGUCGGUUUUUCCCUAUUUCAACUCUAAUUAAUGCGUAUGCUGUAAAAAGUUCAGCCCUUUUUUCGUCUAGGACAAAAAAUAAAAGAAUCUGUGAACCGGUCAAUUUGGGAAAUCUGCUGGUUUUGGGUGUCAAUGCUGGUUGUGUAGAGGGUUAUGCAUAAGGAAAAGCUAAUUGGUCGCAAAUCUAAGUAAAUAUAGCCAUUUUCUGCUUCUGGGUUGAGUUGUUUAGCAAUGGAGAAAUCGAAGAUUGACCAUAUUGUUGGUGGCAAGUUUAAGCUGGGAAGGAAGAUUGGUAGUGGAUCUUUUGGGGAGCUCUAUCUGGGUGUAAAUGUGCAAACUGGAGAAGAGGUCGCUGUUAAACUGGAAUCUGUGAAGACCAAACAUCCUCAGCUUCACUAUGAGUCAAAGUUAUAUAUGCUUCUUCAAGGAGGGAGUAAGCCCUACCUGUCUUCCUCUCUCUUUCUCACACUCACACACAUCCAAAAACACUCAUAAAAUGUUCUGGAAGUGUAGGAUGGAAAUUUAUGAGAGAACAUUAUAUUUUUUGUUUAGAUGCUGUUUUCUGAUUUUAAUUUUUAAGACAGUAACUCCAUGUUGAGGUUAAUGUGCCAUGAUAUUCUUUAGAAGUUCCUUUAAAACACACAAGGGGGAACAUGGUCUGUAAGCAUAAUUUUUUCUCAUAAAUAAUUUCAUCUUAUUUUCCGUGAUGAAGCUGGAAUUCCACAUCUAAAAUGGUUUGGAGUUGAGGCUGACUACAAUGUCAUGAUUAUUGACCUUCUUGGACCUAGUUUGGAAGAUUUAUUCAACUAUUGCAACAGGAAAUUUACAUUGAAAACGGUUUUGAUGCUUGCAGAUCAACUUAUUAACAGGGUUGAAUACAUGCAUUCUAGAGGUUUUCUUCACCGUGAUAUAAAGCCUGACAACUUUUUAAUGGGCCUAGGUCGCAAAGCAAAUCAGGUGUAUGUCAUUGAUUUUGGCCUUGCAAAGAAGUAUAGGGAUCUUCAGACUCACAAACACAUCCCAUACAGAGAAAACAAGAACCUCACAGGCACAGCUCGCUAUGCAAGUGUCAACACUCAUCUUGGAGUUGGUGAGUGAUGUUACGUGUGAUGAUGUCUUUCCAACUAUUAACAGGACAUUAGCUAUCAUAUAUUUUAGAUUUAUUAUUUGCCUAUUUUGCUGGUAGAACAAAGCAGACGGGAUGAUUUGGAGUCUCUUGGUUAUGUGCUUAUGUAUUUCCUAAGAGGAAGGUAAGAGUAUAUACUAUAUAGCAGCUAUGCAUUUAAUUCACUUCUCUCAUUGCUUUUCUUUUUCUGGCUGAGCAUUUUCUAUGCAAUGUCAAAUAGUUCAUUUAGCAUUUUGCCUAAUUCUUUUUGCAUCAGUCUUCCCUGGCAGGGAUUAAAGGCUGGCACAAAAAAGCAAAAAUAUGACAAGAUCAGUGAAAAGAAAGUUUCAACUCCCAUAGAGGUGCUUUGUAAAUCGUACCCAUCUGAGUUCGUAUCAUUUUUCCAUUACUGCCGAUCAUUGCGGUUUGAAGACAAACCAGACUAUUCAUAUUUGAAGAGGCUAUUUCGAGAUUUAUUUAUUCGAGAAGGUUAUCAGUUUGACUAUAUCUUUGACUGGACUAUAUUAAAGUAUCCUCAGCUUGGUUCCAGUUCCAGACAACUGGUCGGCUCUUGCUAGUUUUUUAUUGUGAAUUUCUUCUUUGCCUUGUAUUUUGUAUUCAUUAUUCUGUUUCUUCUUUCUUUUUCAGCAGUCUAGUGGGAAAGCUGGUAUAAAACUACAACAAUCUGUCGAACAAACAGAGAAGGCUCCAGUGGUAGGACAAGAGAAUCGUGAUAGAUCUUCAGGUGCACUUGAAGCAUUCAGUAGAAGACUUGC
Molecule: unclassified non-coding RNA, 2514 nt
Filed under: Hevea brasiliensis (rubber tree)
Lineage: Eukaryota; Viridiplantae; Streptophyta; Magnoliopsida; Malpighiales; Euphorbiaceae
Source: RNAcentral